RNAcentral lists this ribosomal RNA (492 nucleotides) under uncultured bacterium. RNAcentral describes it as "partial 16S ribosomal RNA". It matches the Rfam family "Bacterial small subunit ribosomal RNA", at positions 29 to 507 of the family's 1533-position model. The record is from RNAcentral.
AGUGAACGCUGGCGGUAGGCCUAACACAUGCAAGUCGAACGGCAGCACAGUAAGAGCUUGCUCUUACGGGUGGCGAGUGGCGGACGGGUGAGGAAUACAUCGGAAUCUACUUUUUCGUGGGGGAUAACGUAGGGAAACUUACGCUAAUACCGCAUACGACCUACGGGUGAAAGCAGGGGAUCUUCGGACCUUGCGCGAUUGAAUGAGCCGAUGUCGGAUUAGCUAGUUGGCGGGGUAAAGGCCCACCAAGGCGACGAUCCGUAGCUGGUCUGAGAGGAUGAUCAGCCACACUGGAACUGAGACACGGUCCAGACUCCUACGGGAGGCAGCAGUGGGGAAUAUUGGACAAUGGACGCAAGCUUGAUCCAGCCAUACCGCGUGGGUGAAGAAGGCCUUCGGGUUGUAAAGCCCUUUUGUUGGGAAAGAAAAGCAGCAGGUUAAUACCCCGCUGUUCUGACGGUACCCAAAGAAUAAGCACCGGCUAACUUCGUG